RNAcentral lists this ribosomal RNA (253 nucleotides) under uncultured bacterium. Its description in RNAcentral is "partial 16S ribosomal RNA". It matches the Rfam family "Bacterial small subunit ribosomal RNA", at positions 524 to 776 of the family's 1533-position model. The record is from RNAcentral.
UACGUAGGGUGCAAGCGUUAAUCGGAAUUACUGGGCGUAAAGCGUGCGUAGGCGGUUCGUUAAGUCAGUUGUGAAAGCCCCGGGCUCAACCUGGGAAUUGCGGUUGAAACUGGCGAACUAGAAUCUGGCAGAGGGGGGUGGAAUUCCACGUGUAGCAGUGAAAUGCGUAGAGAUGCGGAGGAACACCGAUGGCGAAGGCAGCCCCCUGGGCUGACACUGACGCUCAGGCACGAAAGCGUGGGGAGCAAACAGG